This 73-nucleotide transfer RNA is filed under the name Treponema sp. Its description in RNAcentral is "tRNA-Met". It matches the Rfam family "tRNA". From Rfam's summary of the family: Transfer RNA (tRNA) molecules are approximately 80 nucleotides in length. The record is from RNAcentral. Lineage: Bacteria; Pseudomonadati; Spirochaetota; Spirochaetia; Treponematales; Treponemataceae.
AGUAGGGUAUAUCAGACGGCAGAUGGCGCGGUGCAUAUCCGCGAGGUCAAGGGUUCGAUUCCCUUUCCUGCUA